This is a long non-coding RNA of Chelonia mydas (Green sea turtle), 529 nucleotides long. RefSeq lists it as uncharacterized. The transcript is spliced from 3 exons. NCBI's taxonomy places the organism in Eukaryota, Metazoa, Chordata, Testudines, Cheloniidae. The record is from RefSeq and is a predicted model, not a curated record.
CAGCAAGCCCAGCCAAAGUCAACGGCAGCUGUGGCUGCUCAGCACUUUGGAAAACCAGGCUGUUAGUUAGUUGCCUAGGGCCACAUCGUGAGUCAGUGGCACAGAACAGGAACGGAACUCACUGUUAUCACUCAGCACCCUUCUUGAAUUGUGGACAGCAGCACUGGACACAGUAUUCCAGCAGCACUUGACCAGUGUCAUAUACAAAGGACAUAUAACCUCUCUUCUCCUAUGCAAGAUUCCUAUUUAUACAUUCAAGGAUCACAUUAGCCCUUUUGGACGUUGUGUCGCAAUGGGGGCUCGUAUUCAGCUGAUUAUCCACCAUGACCCCCAAGUCUUUUUCAGAGUCACUGCUUUCCAGGAUAGUCCCCCAUCUUGUUAUUGAUAAAAAUUUUAAACAGCAUAGCACCAAGAACAAAUCCCUUCAGAACCUCAUUCGAAACAUGCCCUCCUGAUGAAUUUCCAUUUACUAUUACAUUUUGAAACCUAUCCGUUAACUAGUUUUUAAUCCAUUUGUGCCAUGUUGAUU